Molecule: ribosomal RNA, 485 nt
Filed under: uncultured bacterium
Lineage: Bacteria
Description: bacterial SSU rRNA
Rfam family: Bacterial small subunit ribosomal RNA
Source: RNAcentral
GACGAACGCUGGCGGCGUGCUUAACACAUGCAAGUCGAACGGAAAGGCCUCUUUCGGGGGGUACUCGAGUGGCGAACGGGUGAGUAACACGUGAGUAACCUGCCCUUGACUUUGGGAUAACUUCAGGAAACUGGGGCUAAUACCGGAUAGGAGCUCCUGCUGCAUGGUGGGGGUUGGAAAGUUUCGGCGGUUGGGGAUGGACUCGCGGCUUAUCAGCUUGUUGGUGGGGUAGUGGCUUACCAAGGCUUUGACGGGUAGCCGGCCUGAGAGGGUGACCGGCCACAUUGGGACUGAGAUACGGCCCAGACUCCUACGGGAGGCAGCAGUGGGGGAAUAUUGCACAAUGGGUGGAAGCCUGAUGCAGCAACGCCGUGUGCGGGAUGACGGCCUUCGGGUUGUAAACCGCUUUCGCUCAUGACGAAGCUUUGUGUGACGGUAGUGGGUAAAGAAGCACCGGCUAACUACGUGCCAGCAGCCGCGGUAAU